AUGAGUAUCUUGAGCUGGAACUGUCGCGGCGCGGGCAAAGCUGCGACAAUUAGAGAACUUCGCAACAUCGCGAACAAUUUUGCCCCUACCCUUUUCUGUAUUGUUGAGACUCAGAUUGAUAGAUCAAGGGUAGAAAAUCUAGCUGGAAGUAUUGAUUAUGACAAUGGAUAUGAUGUUAGUAGUCAAGGUAGAAGUGGAGGACUAGGGCUGUUUUGGAAUAAUACGUACAAUAAAGAUUGA
RNAcentral lists this ribosomal RNA (240 nucleotides) under Triticum aestivum (bread wheat). RNAcentral describes it as "partial small subunit ribosomal RNA". The record is from RNAcentral. Lineage: Eukaryota; Viridiplantae; Streptophyta; Magnoliopsida; Poales; Poaceae.